UUGAGUUUCUAGGACUCUUUACAGUUCUUUCACCCACCCUGAAAGUUCGAUUUUCUCAUUUGGAAUGUGAGUGAAGCAGUGUACCUUUACUGUGGUCACGGUGAAAAGUCUCAGAAAUUUGCCUCAUGACAAUGACUCAGUAAAGGAUGUGGCUUUCACGAGUCGCUGUGGGUAAACAACAGAGAGGGACUGAUUGCUUGAUUCUGCUUCUGAGGAGCCCUGGUUGAAAUGCAAUUGUACAACUAUAUGAAAAACAAGUCUCCCAAAACAUGCUCCACAGUACAGAAAAUGCCACCAAAUCACUAUCUUGAACAGAAAAGGACUUCAAGAUACAAACAUCAGCCAUGUGAGACACAGAAGGAACUGAAGCAGGGUGCUGGAGAGAUGACUCAGUGGUUAAGAGCACUGGCUGCUAUUACAGAGGACCUGGGUUCAAUUCCCAGCACCCACACAGUCGCUCACAGCUGCCUGUAACACCUAUUUCAGAAGAUCUAAUGUCCUUCUCUGACCUCCACACGUGGCAAAACAGACAUCAAAACAAAACACUCGAAUAAAA
Non-coding RNA from Cricetulus griseus (Chinese hamster), 556 nucleotides. Lineage: Eukaryota; Metazoa; Chordata; Mammalia; Rodentia; Cricetidae. The record is from RefSeq and is a predicted model, not a curated record.